Molecule: transfer RNA, 71 nt
Filed under: hydrothermal vent metagenome
Description: tRNA-Cys-GCA
Rfam family: tRNA
About the family: Transfer RNA (tRNA) molecules are approximately 80 nucleotides in length.
Source: RNAcentral
GGCGCCAUCGCCAAGUGGUAAGGCCGUAGCCUGCAAAGCUAUUAUCCCCAGUUCGAAUCUGGGUGGCGCCU